RNAcentral lists this transfer RNA (66 nucleotides) under Isoperla eximia. RNAcentral describes it as "tRNA-Phe". The record is from RNAcentral. Lineage: Eukaryota; Metazoa; Arthropoda; Insecta; Plecoptera; Perlodidae.
ACUUAAGUAGCUUAUAAAAGAGCAUGACAUUGAAGCUGUUAGGGAGGUUAAUUUAACCCUUAAGUA